CCUACGGGAGGCAGCAGUAGGGAAUAUUGGGCAAUGGAGGCAACUCUGACCCAGCCAUGCCGCGUGCAGGAUGAAGGCGUUAUGCGUUGUAAACUGCUUUUAUAUAGGAAGAAAUAGACCUUGCGAGGUAAGUUGACGGUACUAUAUGAAUAAGCACCGGCUAACUCCGUGCCAGCAGCCGCGGUAAUACGGAGGGUGCAAGCGUUGUCCGGAUUUAUUGGGUUUAAAGGGUGCGUAGGCGGUUUAUUAAGUCAGUGGUGAAAGACGGUCGCUCAACGAUUGCAGUGCCAUUGAUACUGGUAGACUUGAGUAUGAUUGAGGUAGCUGGAAUGGAUAGUGUAGCGGUGAAAUGCAUAGAUAUUAUCCAGAACACCAAUUGCGUAGGCAAGUUACUAAGUCAUAACUGACGCUGAUGCACGAAAGUGUGGGUAUCAAACAGGAUUAGAUACCCUGGUAGUCCACACUGUAAACGAUGAUAACUAACUGUUGGCUUUCGGGUCAGUGGUACAGAGAAAUCGUUAAGUUAUCCACCUGGGGAGUACGCCGGCAACGGUGAAACUCAAAUGAAAUUGACGGCUGAGACGNGCGAGCGACACGAGGGAGAGG
This 606-nucleotide ribosomal RNA is filed under the name uncultured bacterium. Its description in RNAcentral is "bacterial SSU rRNA". It matches the Rfam family "Bacterial small subunit ribosomal RNA", at positions 338 to 944 of the family's 1533-position model. The record is from RNAcentral.